RNAcentral lists this ribosomal RNA (468 nucleotides) under uncultured bacterium. RNAcentral's name for it is "partial 16S ribosomal RNA". It matches the Rfam family "Bacterial small subunit ribosomal RNA", at positions 28 to 507 of the family's 1533-position model. The record is from RNAcentral.
GACGAACGCUGGCGGCGUGCUUAACACAUGCAAGUCGAACGGAAAGGCCCUGCUUUUGUGGGGUGCUCGAGUGGCGAACGGGUGAGUAACACGUGAGUAACCUGCCCUUGACUUUGGGAUAACUCCUGGAAACUGGGGCUAAUACCGGAUAGGAGCUCCUGCUGCAUGGUGGGGGUUGGAAAGUUUCGGCGGUUGGGGAUGGACUCGCGGCUUAUCAGCUUGUUGGUGGGGUAGUGGCUUACCAAGGCUUUGACGGGUAGCCGGCCUGAGAGGGUGAACGGCCACAUUGGGACUGAGCUACGGACCAGACUCCUACGGGAGGCAGCAGUGGGGAAUAUUGCACAAUGGGCGGAAGCCUGAUGCAGCAACGCCGCGUGCGGGAUGACGGCCUUCGGGUUGUAAACCGAUUUCGCAUGUGACGAAGAGUGAGUGACGGUAAUGGGUAAAGAAGCACCGGCUAACUACGUG